RNAcentral lists this unclassified non-coding RNA (783 nucleotides) under Hevea brasiliensis (rubber tree). Lineage: Eukaryota; Viridiplantae; Streptophyta; Magnoliopsida; Malpighiales; Euphorbiaceae. The record is from RNAcentral.
AAAUUACUUUGCUAUAAUAACUCGAAUUAAACAUAUGUGUAUACAUGUAGAUUCUUAACAUAUAUACGGAGCAAACUACUGGAUUCUGUUGAGCCCGUAGAUUAUACUGUGUAUUCAUGUUCUGUAGAUUACCAAAAAUGUCAAUCUAAAUCAAAGAUCAAAUAUCCAAAUACAAGCCAUUCCAUUAUAUAUAAGUUAUAACCAACCAAUAAGUCAAUGACAAAAGCUCACAAGGAAACACAAAAUGACAGCAUAGUUGAUACACAGAAGAGAUUGAUAUUCUCCCCUUUACAGCACACAACACUUCUUCAUGGCCUCAAUUAUGUAUGAUAUGAAUACACAACAUGCCUAGAGACCCUGUUCAAUGAUAUAGUCACCCAGCCUUUCAACAAUCAUAUUACACUGGCCAGGAGUCAUCGGCUCGUCAUAUAUUCCAAUGAUCAAUGCCUGGUUAGUCUUCUUAACAGUGAUACCACCGGCACCCUUCUUGCCUCGUAUAACAGCUCCUGCCUCCCCUUGAAUCACCAUAUACUUUGUUCCCCCAAGAUGUAAACCAGUUGGAGCAAGUGUUCCAGGUUCAGCAAAGUCAUUCAUUAUGGCUGUUAUUUCUUCUGGUUUAAACUGAGGAAAAUUAGCAGAUUGAGCCCAAACGGAACCAUCCUGACCGAUGAUAGCAGCAGAAGUGAGAUGAUUACCUUCAAUAUCACACAUCAAAUGAUCAUCAACAUACGUUUGCCACGACAUCUUCUUCUUCUACUUCCGCUGCUGCUGCUGCUGCUGCUG